Molecule: long non-coding RNA, 1449 nt
Organism: Lolium rigidum
Lineage: Eukaryota; Viridiplantae; Streptophyta; Magnoliopsida; Poales; Poaceae
Exons: 3
Source: RefSeq, a predicted model, not a curated record
CAGAGCUGCUGGUGGCUGCUGCUUUUGCUCUGUUCUUUGAUGUUUUGGAUGUUCUCUUUUUUGCUUAUGUAAGGUCUUUUUUUUCAGGUUUGAUUGCUGGUGUAUUCUAUAUUUUUCUGAUUGUUGUGCUUGGAUGCCGUGAUUCAGCUUCAUGGUUAUGUGUGAUGAGUGAUGCAGCUGGUGAGUCGCGGGUUGAUGGCAGGAAAUGGCGUGGUAUGGCGUCGUGCUAUUUUAUUCUACUACAACAUCCAUGAAUAUAAAUUCGAAGUGCAGGUCGUCUACAAGAUUUUCAAAGAAGAAAACUUUGUCCUAUAUUUGCCACACGAUCCUUCGGAGAUACAACUCUGAACUGAUGAAUGCAGAAGAAAGUAUUAUCUGAUCAUGGAUAGAUUGUGCAACGUAAGAUCCUUUUUUACUGGCCCUUAAACUUUUAAUAAUCCUACAUAAAUGUUUAUUAUCUUCCAAUGAACUCUUGGUAUUUUUUCUUUUGCAUUCACAUUUCUUAUGCAUGCAUUGUGUCAUAUACACCUGCAUCCUGCAUAUACACUUACAAGUUGCAAGAAAAAGAAAAGCGUGAAAACUCAUGCUAAAUUCGUGUAAUCUUCCAGAUAGUUUACAAAUUCUAAUAGUGGUUGUUAUAAGCAAAAGGUUGGUACGUAAUUCUAAAAAAUUAGCAGACAUGUAUAAAUUUUUUAUAUUCAGUAUAGUGUUAAUAGGACCAUGCAUACUAUGUAUCUCUCAUGUUGUCUAGAUGUGUCUUAGUCAAUACGUUGAACAUAUGUUUUCUCCUGGGUAACAUGCUUUCAUUUCCAAGCCGACGGUUACCUCACAUGUAUUACUUCCUUUUUUUAGCAUGUGUCCUACUUAUAGUCUACUAAAUACUCCUUUCUUGAGGCUACAGGGCAAGUUCCCCGCUUCUAAAAGGUGCAAGAAACCUGAGGUUUAGCACAACAAGUUGUAUUAUCUGUCUUUUUUGUUACUAAGAUCUUUAGUAGGGAUCUAUUAUUGAUUUCAUGUAAUUCAAUAUUUGAAAGUUCUAAUCUAUAAAUGUAUGCAGAUUUAUGAUUCUAAAAUAGCUUUUAAAAAUAGAUUCUUACUAAGUCUGGGUUGCCUCCUUGCUUAGAAGUGCCACCGAGGAGUCGUUCCGGUCGGAACUCAACAUUGAAACCAUACAAGCCAUCUAUGCUUCCGAUCAGUAGGAAGGUUAGCAACUCCGUGACUGCAUAGAUGUCGGCUUCCUGGAGGAAGACAAAUCCCAGCCUUUGACAAGGAAUCCAUUGAUCACGAUCCUCAACACAGCUGGCGAAGGCAUGUAAAUCCUCCUCCUUUGCUCUGAUGAAGAAGAGGAUCCAGUUACCAAGUGUGUGUCCGGAUAUGAUGAAAUCCACGAAUUGUACCAUUGGUUUAUCUUUGAUUGUGUAUUGAAAUUUACUACGAGGUCGAUCUUAC